CACGUAGGGCGCAAGCGUUGUCCGGAAUUAUUGGGCGUAAAGAGCUCGUAGGCGGUCUGUUGCGUCUGCUGUGAAAACUCGGGGCUUAACCCCGAGCCUGCAGUGGAUACGGGCAGACUAGAGGUAGGUAGGGGAGAAUGGAAUUCCCGGUGUAGCGGUGAAAUGCGCAGAUAUCGGGAGGAACACCGGUGGCGAAGGCGGGUCUCUGGGGCUGAGCUGACGCUGAGGAGCGAAAGCGUGGGGAGCGAACAGG
Molecule: ribosomal RNA, 253 nt
Filed under: uncultured bacterium
Lineage: Bacteria
Description: partial 16S ribosomal RNA
Rfam family: Bacterial small subunit ribosomal RNA
Source: RNAcentral